GGCGGAAUAGCUCAAUGGAAGAGCGACCAUCCUUCUUUACCAAUAUGAGAACUUAGAGGUCGACGCGGGUUCGAUUCCCACUUCCGUUC
This 89-nucleotide transfer RNA is filed under the name Blastocystis sp. ATCC 50177/Nand II. RNAcentral's name for it is "Blastocystis sp. ATCC 50177 tRNA". It matches the Rfam family "tRNA". Rfam says of the family: Transfer RNA (tRNA) molecules are approximately 80 nucleotides in length. Their secondary structure includes four short double-helical elements and three loops (D, anti-codon, and T loops). Lineage: Eukaryota; Bigyra; Opalinata; Blastocystidae. The record is from Rfam by way of RNAcentral.